GAACGGGUGAGUAACACGUGGGUAACCUGCCCAUCAGAAGGGGAUAACACUUGGAAACAGGUGCUAAUACCGUAUAACAAUCGAAACCGCAUGGUUUUGAUUUGAAAGGCGCUUUCGGGUGUCGCUGAUGGAUGGACCCGCGGUGCAUUAGCUAGUUGGUGAGGUAACGGCUCACCAAGGCCACGAUGCAUAGCCGACCUGAGAGGGUGAUCGGCCACAUUGGGACUGAGACACGGCCCAAACUCCUACGGGAGGCAGCAGUAGGGAAUCUUCGGCAAUGGACGAAAGUCUGACCGAGCAACGCCGCGUGAGUGAAGAAGGUUUUCGGAUCGUAAAACUCUGUUGUUAGAGAAGAACAAGGAUGAGAGUAACUGUUCAUCCCUUGACGGUAUCUAACCAGAAAGCCACGGCUAACUACGUGCCAGCAGCCGCGGUAAUACGUAGGUGGCAAGCGUUGUCCGGAUUUAUUGGGCGUAAAGCGAGCGCAGGCGGUUUCUUAAGUCUGAUGUGAAA
RNAcentral lists this ribosomal RNA (513 nucleotides) under Enterococcus durans. RNAcentral's name for it is "bacterial SSU rRNA". It matches the Rfam family "Bacterial small subunit ribosomal RNA", at positions 100 to 599 of the family's 1533-position model. The record is from RNAcentral. Lineage: Bacteria; Bacillati; Bacillota; Bacilli; Lactobacillales; Enterococcaceae.